ACAGGCUCGCCGCCGGGUGAGCCGCAAGCGCUUUUUCCUGCAUCGUUAGGCCUUUGAAGAUGCGGGGGAGGGCGCAUUUCGUUU
RNAcentral lists this non-coding RNA (84 nucleotides) under unclassified sequences. The record is from RNAcentral.